Calidris pugnax (ruff) is the source of this 919-nucleotide long non-coding RNA. RefSeq lists it as uncharacterized. The record is from RefSeq and is a predicted model, not a curated record. The transcript has 3 exons. Lineage: Eukaryota; Metazoa; Chordata; Aves; Charadriiformes; Scolopacidae.
AGGCUUCAAUCUAAGGAAAAAAGAAACAGAGGAAGUUAUUAUUACUCUUCUUGCCAUGCUGAUGUGAAAACGGUGCUAGACAGCAAACUCCAGGAAAGAAAAACCUCAGUUAUUCCCAUCAGCACGCUUGUAUUCCCUGCUGGGAAACAAGGAGGCAGAGCAGCCCUACCAGCUGGCACCCCUUUGCCGUCACAGAACCUGUUCCAGGAGCCACCAGAAACAAAAAGCUACAGCUUUACAAAAACAGGGAUAUAUGUCUGUAGAUAUGGGAAUACAUGACGUUUCAAGAUCACUACAUAACUACCAGGUCACUUCUGGAUGUGUUGAACAGUACGGACGCCAACACAAAUAGUUUACUUGUGACUUCUGGUCAUUGAAGCUUCCAAACAACAGAGCUUCAGUCAAACUUCUGUAAUUUCUAGUAUUUGCUAAACACUUGAAAAGUUUUGAAAUCACAAAUUUUAACCGUAAAGAUGUAUAUACAUGUAUUUAUAUAUGAGGUCUGAAAACUUGAAGACUGUGGUGGCAAAGGGAAGAAAAAAAAGAAAGAAAAAACAACUACUAAAUACUGCAAUGCAGGUAUUAGGGUGCUCAGUAGGUGAGAGCAGAGUAGUUGAGUUGUCACCAACUACCUGAAUAACUACUUGAGCAAGUCCAAUAAAUGUCUUUAACGAGAAAGCUGCCUUCUAACUAAAACUAAAAAUUCUUCUCCACAGCCACAUGUUGUGAUGUAUGAAGUGGGAGGCUGCUCUGGUCACCGUGUCCCUGAUACAGAGAGGUGACAACUGGAAGAUAUUCCAGGAUGCAGUCGUGACCUAAGACUCAGCAAAAUUGGUCAACGUGUGCACACACACACAGACACACACACAGUUUCUGAGAGGAAAUCAGCAGAACACCCUUGAGAUGAAAGCCAACCACA